AGAAUAUGUAUGCUCUGAAGAAUAAUACAGCAAUCAAUGUGGAACUAGGGGAGGAAAAAAUUACGUAAAAUGGUAGGCAAUUUGCAGAAAAAAAGGAAGCUAGAUAUGAAAUCAGCAAGUAAUCAACACAACUACAAUAUGGAGAUCUCCCUAAGGAACAUAACAUACAGAGAUUCGCAGACUCAGUUGACGUCCUUCAAUCUUUUAAUUAAUGCAUCAAGAGAUUUCUUUUUAGUGUUCUGCUUAGCUCCCCUUGUGCCAAAAGACCCAAAAAGUCUGUCACUUUGAUCCUUCAUCUUUUCCGAGAUAGUAACAACUUUGCGGUAGUCCAAAGCAUUAUAACUUCUCUCUCUAAUAACUGGAUUCAGGAAAUUUUCCGGGUGAUUGCUUAAGAGUAGAUUAACCAACUGCCUGGACUCGCCCAAUGCUGCUUUCAGCUGACUAGCAUCUGCUUCAGAUAGGAGAGGAGCUUGGUUUUCAGCAAAUGAUUCCAACAUACGGAUAUCAACAUCAAGAGCCAUAACAGCAUUCACGUUGAACCUUUUAACUGAUUCCCCUAGUAAAGCCCCAACAAUCAUCUCUGAUAUAUGACACAGAACAUCU
RNAcentral lists this unclassified non-coding RNA (603 nucleotides) under Hevea brasiliensis (rubber tree). Lineage: Eukaryota; Viridiplantae; Streptophyta; Magnoliopsida; Malpighiales; Euphorbiaceae. The record is from RNAcentral.